AUAGGAAUAAAUCUCUUUCUAGUAAUGUUUUGCAACUCUACUAUAACGGAUUUAUUCGGCUCUUU
RNAcentral lists this antisense RNA (65 nucleotides) under Streptococcus thermophilus. RNAcentral describes it as "Spy392987". It matches the Rfam family "S. pyogenes antisense RNA 392987". Lineage: Bacteria; Bacillati; Bacillota; Bacilli; Lactobacillales; Streptococcaceae. The record is from RNAcentral.